RNAcentral lists this long non-coding RNA (343 nucleotides) under Pan troglodytes (chimpanzee). RNAcentral describes it as "long non-coding RNA NONPTRT018524". Lineage: Eukaryota; Metazoa; Chordata; Mammalia; Primates; Hominidae. The record is from RNAcentral.
GCAGCAUGUUUAUUUCACAGAUGUAGAAGUUCCCAGUAGGACACUGAAAUUCUGAACAGCAGAGUUAUGGAGUAUCAGAAUCUUUCCAUGGAAACCUCCAUAUGGCCUUUCUAUAUAUAUUCUCGUAUGUCUUAUUCUACCAACACAACAAUAAGCGUGUUGCAGUCAAUGUAUUAAGCAAAGCAAACCUGCCAGCCAGCAAAUUCAAAUAAAAAAUAAAGCAUUAAAAAUCAAUGGAGAUGUUAAAACAACACAAAUAGAAAACUAGUAACUACCAACCAUCCAUCCUAUUUGAAUUAUCAAGCAGAACAUGACCAUAAAAUUUGGUAACUUGUUACAUUAC